Molecule: long non-coding RNA, 991 nt
Organism: Acanthochromis polyacanthus (spiny chromis)
Lineage: Eukaryota; Metazoa; Chordata; Actinopteri; Pomacentridae
Exons: 3
Source: RefSeq, a predicted model, not a curated record
ACACACAACAACACAACGUUAACACAACAAUAACACAACCAUCAUCCAUCCAUCAAUCAAUCCAUCAUCAUCAUCCAUCCAUCAUAAAUCCAUCCAUCCAUCAUCAUCAUCAUCAUUCCAUCCAUCCAUCAUCAUCAUCAUCCCAUCCAUCCAUCCAUCCAUCAUCAUCAUCCAUCCACCAUCAUCAUCCAUCCAAACAGUUUGAGAGAAACUUUUCAGGAAGAAGUUUAACUUCUAAAACAUUAGUGUCUGUUAUUGAAACAAUUUUCUUCAAAAAGAGAAAAAAGGUAACAUCUGUUAAAAUGAAUAUUAUCUGUAGAAAGUCUAGAAGUAGACAGGUUCCAGUUAUCUGGUUAUCUGUACAAGGUCUAGAAGUAGACAGGUUCCAGUUAUCUGUUAUCUGUACAAGGUCUAGAAGUAGACAGGUUCCAGUUAUCUGUUAUCUGUACAAGGUCUAGAAGUAGACAGGUUCCAGUUAUCUGUUAUCUGUACAAGGUCUAGAAGUAGACAGGUUCCAGUUAUCUGUUAUCUGUACAAGGUCUAGAAGUAGACAGGUUCCAGUUAUCUGUUAUCUGUACAAGGUCUAGAAGUAGACAGGUUCCAGUUAUCUGUUAUCUGUAGAAAGUCUAGAAGUAGACAGGUUCCAGUUAUCUGUUAUCUGUAGAAAGUCUAGAAGUAGACAGGUUCCAGUUAUCUGUUAUCUGUAGAAAGUCUAGAAGUAGACAGGUUCCAGUUAUCUGUUAUCUGUAAAAAGUCUAGAAGUAGACAGGUUCCAGUUAUCUGUUAUCUGUACAAAGUCUAGAAGUAGACAGGUUCCAGUUAUCUGUUAUCUGUAGAAAGUCUAGAAGUAGACAGGUUCCAGUUAUCUGUACAAGGUCUAGAAGUAGACAGGUUCCAGGGCCAGAGCUGAACCAUCUGUGGAGAACAGGUUCUUCAAACUGAACGUUUCUGUUGAGAAGGUUCAGAAACUCGAGAAGACGUAAAUAAAGUC